CAAAGAUUAAGCCAUGGCAUGUGAA
Molecule: unclassified non-coding RNA, 25 nt
Filed under: Acacia chartacea
Lineage: Eukaryota; Viridiplantae; Streptophyta; Magnoliopsida; Fabales; Fabaceae
Description: partial small subunit rRNA
Source: RNAcentral